CUUGCAUGAACUAACCUUUCUUCUCCGGUGGAGGUGGAUGUUCUUGCCUGCGAUUCCACCCAGAUCUGAAGGAUCUUACCAUCAAACGAAGAAAGAUAUAAAUAGAUAUGCAGGAUCAGGAUGUGGAUGUGGAUGUGGCUGAUGCAGCAAAAGAAACGUUUACAUCUUCUGAAACUGAUGACUGGAAAAAAUACAAGGAUGAUGAUAUUAUGCAACAGCACUCUGCCAUACAAGCUGAACAAGCUGUAAAAGUUCCAUUUCUUGGUGAUAAGGAACCUUUGUCCUCAUUAGAAGCUGAAUACCAUCUGGGAAAUUCAAUUGUGCUUGAGAAAAUAAAGGUGCUGAGUGAACAGUAUGCUGCCAUUAGAAGAACACGUGGAGAUGGGAACUGCUUUUUCCGCAGUUUCAUGUUUGGUUACCUUGAGCACAUUCUGGAAUCACAAGAUCACAAUGAAGUUCAACACAUUAAAUCUAAUAUUGAGGAAUGCAAGAAGACACUUCAAAGUUUGGGCUAUGCAGAAUUCACCUUUGAAGACUUUUUUGCAUUAUUCCUCGAGCAACUCGAUAGUGUUCUUCAAGGUAGCGAAGAUUCCAUAAGUCAUGAUGAACUCCUGUGCAGAAGUCGUGAUCCAUCAAUUUCUGACUAUGUUGUUAUGUUCUUCAGAUUUGUGACAUCAGGUGAAAUAAGAAAGCGGUCCGAGUUUUUCGAACCAUUUAUUCUAGGACUAACAAAUACCUCAGUGGAGCAGUUUUGCAAGUCAGCAGUGGAACCCAUGGGUGAAGAGAGUGAUCAUGUGCAAAUUACAGCCCUAUCAGAUGCAUUGGGUGUACCGAUCCGUGUUGUAUAUCUUGACCGAAGCUCAUGUGAGAACAACAGCAUCAAUGUAAAUCACCAUGACUUUAUUCCUACUAGCAGGGAGGUCGGGAAUAGUGAUGUUUCCAAGACCACAAAUCGUCCAUCUAUCACCCUGCUGUAUCGCCCAGGGCAUUAUGACAUUCUGUACCCCAAGUGAUAUUCUUCAGCCUGCACUUGUUAGCUUUUUUUCAUUUAGUUUGUGGAAACUUUGCUUAUAGAUAUAUUGAUAUGUAUGAUCAAUGGGUAUAGAAACUUUAUUUUACCAUCAAUAAUCUGACUUUGUCGAUGAGGGCCGAACUGUAGAUAAGUGGAGCUUUCUUAAUCCUCUCAUUACAGUGGUUUCUU
RNAcentral lists this unclassified non-coding RNA (1201 nucleotides) under Hevea brasiliensis (rubber tree). The record is from RNAcentral. Lineage: Eukaryota; Viridiplantae; Streptophyta; Magnoliopsida; Malpighiales; Euphorbiaceae.